This 117-nucleotide ribosomal RNA is filed under the name Nannocystaceae bacterium. The record is from RNAcentral. Lineage: Bacteria; Pseudomonadati; Myxococcota; Nannocystales; Nannocystaceae.
UCUGGUGACUAUUGCGGAGGGGCCACACCCGAUCCCAUCCCGAACUCGGAAGUUAAGCCCUCCAGCGCCGAUGGUACUGCAGGGGGGACUCUGUGGGAGAGUAGGUCGUUGCCAGAU